RNA transcript from Clupea harengus (Atlantic herring), 2295 nucleotides. It is a transcript of the gene named tyrosylprotein sulfotransferase 1, like, with no coding region annotated. The transcript is spliced from 5 exons. The record is from RefSeq and is a predicted model, not a curated record. Lineage: Eukaryota; Metazoa; Chordata; Actinopteri; Clupeiformes; Clupeidae.
GAGCUUCGUUUCUUUCCUUCUCCCCUGAAUUUACAAUAAGUUUUUAUGAUUGAUCUGUGUGCUCAUGUCAUGUUGCGACAAGCCAGUUUCCUAAGUAAUCUAACAGUUCACUGACCUGAAAUCUGAUAAACAACUUUCAUAACGGAGUAACAUCUCGGCGCCAUGGAGCUGACACAACAAAUCUGGGUCACCACAGUAAGAGAAGGUUUCUCAGUCAGCCCUCCCUAUAUACCCCCUGUCUGAGCCCAGAGGAGAAGAGGUCUUUUACCUCUUUGUGCUCAUUUUUGGAACCCUUUCCCCCACCUCCGUCCAUCCUACAUACCUUUACCUUGCAUUCCUCUCCCGACCUUUAACAUCUUACCUCCUACAUUCCUGUUCAAUUGUCUUCCAUUCUCAUGGUGUUCUUUUGACUUGUUCCUUCUUUUGUCUUCACAUUUCUCUUCUUCUCUUUUCUCCUCUCUUCUCCUUUUUCUCUUCUCUUCUUGUGUCUGAACUUUUUCUCUUUUCUACUCCUCUUCACAUUUAAUCUCUGUCUCGAUCCAUAGUGUAACUUCCCCACAAAACAUCUGCAUCCUCUUCUCUGUCCAUCACUAAUUCAUGAUGAGGAAACCACAAAACGUUCUGCUGCUGGCCUGUGUGGUCAUCAGCUCUUUGACCGUAUUCUACCUGGGCCUCAGCACCAUGGAAUGCCCAAGUCGUGGCCACUGGCACGGCAGCCACGGCAGGCGCUACUCCUGGACCUCCCUGAACCUGGGCCAGAACAUGAGCGGCCCGCAGAUCCCGCUGGAGUACAACGAGAACACACCGCUCAUCUUCGUUGGCGGCGUCCCGAGGAGCGGCACCACACUGAUGCGUGCCAUGCUGGACGCCCACCCGAUGGUGCGCUGCGGUGAGGAGACGCGCGUCAUCCCACGCCUGCUUGCCAUGCACUCCACCUGGAGCCGGUCGGCUCGCGAGCGCAUGCGGCUAGACGAGGCCGGCGUCACCGAUGAGGUACUGGACGCCGCCAUCCGCGCCUUCCUGCUUGAGGUGAUUGUGGGCCAUGGUGAGCCGGCGCCGCGCCUGUGCAACAAGGACCCCUUCACCCUGAAAUCGCUCUCCUACCUGAGCCACCUGUUCCCGCGCGCCAAGUUCGUGCUGAUGCUGCGCGAUGGCCGCGCCACCGUGCACUCCAUGAUCUCGCGCCGCGUCACCAUCACAGGCUUUGACCUGAGCAGUUACCGCGACUGCCUGGUGAAGUGGAGCCGGGCGGCGGAGAGUAUGUAUGACCAGUGCCGCGAGGCCGGCGAGGAGAGGUGCAUGUUGCUGCGCUACGAGCAGCUGGUCCUGCAGCCGCAGCAGGCCAUGCAGAGGCUGCUGCACUUCCUUGACCUGCCCUGGGACACGGCCGUGCUCCACCACGAGCAGCUCAUUGGGAAAGCCGGCGGAGUGUCACUGUCUAAGACAGAGCGCUCCACAGACCAAGUGAUGAAUCCGGUCAACACGGAGGCCUUGGUGAAGUGGGUUGGCAAGAUCCCGGCUGAUGUGUUGAAGGAUAUGGCGGACAUCGCGCCCAUGCUGAGCAGACUCGGCUACGACCCUCAAGCCAACCCCCCUGAUUACACCAAACUACAGGAGCCCUCACAUGGGAACAGUACUCUACUGGUGAGGGACAGUGUGGCGUCACAUCUUGAAAGAGUUCUAAAAAAUUUGAUGCAAGAUGCACAGAACUGUGGAAAGUCCUGAUCCCAGUUAGGACUGAUGCACAGCUGACAAUCAUGAUGAUAACCAGUAUUGACCUGCAGUUCUGUCCGGCGACCCCUAUGGGAGGUUGGUUUCUGCCUCUUGUCAUGGCUAUGUUCAUUGGAUGCCAAUGAUUUUUGGAGAGGAACCCAGCUGCCUAUUUCCAUUUGUUGAGGAUAUGAUUUUCAACAUAGCCAGCAUUCAUAAAUUACAUGUAAAGAAAUGCUGUCAUAAGCACAGGUGAUACAAUUAACUUGGUGUUAAUGAAUGUCAUUCAAAUAUGUACAUUUCCAUAUCAGGAUGGUCAUGGAACCUCAAGUGCAAGAUGUGCCAUAUUUCUGUGAGCAUAAAUAUUUUCGUGCUGUUUGUCUUCAAUUUAACUUUUGUGAUAAAAUACAUCUAUAUUCAUUACCAAUACAAAUAGUACAUCAUGUCAGACUUCAUAGUGUGUUGGUCUUUGUUUUUUGUUUUUCUGUGGAGCAGACAAUGAUGUGAUCUCAGAGAUAAUUUAUUAAAGAGAGAUUUAUUUUUCAAAUGUGUUGUAUGUAUUUCUAUUAAAUGUCUUUUUGUUCA